RNAcentral lists this ribosomal RNA (2904 nucleotides) under Escherichia coli. Its description in RNAcentral is "23S ribosomal RNA". It matches the Rfam family "Bacterial large subunit ribosomal RNA". Lineage: Bacteria; Pseudomonadati; Pseudomonadota; Gammaproteobacteria; Enterobacterales; Enterobacteriaceae. The record is from RNAcentral.
GGUUAAGCGACUAAGCGUACACGGUGGAUGCCCUGGCAGUCAGAGGCGAUGAAGGACGUGCUAAUCUGCGAUAAGCGUCGGUAAGGUGAUAUGAACCGUUAUAACCGGCGAUUUCCGAAUGGGGAAACCCAGUGUGAUUCGUCACACUAUCAUUAACUGAAUCCAUAGGUUAAUGAGGCGAACCGGGGGAACUGAAACAUCUAAGUACCCCGAGGAAAAGAAAUCAACCGAGAUUCCCCCAGUAGCGGCGAGCGAACGGGGAGCAGCCCAGAGCCUGAAUCAGUGUGUGUGUUAGUGGAAGCGUCUGGAAAGGCGCGCGAUACAGGGUGACAGCCCCGUACACAAAAAUGCACAUACUGUGAGCUCGAUGAGUAGGGCGGGACACGUGGUAUCCUGUCUGAAUAUGGGGGGACCAUCCUCCAAGGCUAAAUACUCCUGACUGACCGAUAGUGAACCAGUACCGUGAGGGAAAGGCGAAAAGAACCCCGGCGAGGGGAGUGAAAAAGAACCUGAAACCGUGUACGUACAAGCAGUGGGAGCCUCUUUAUGGGGUGACUGCGUACCUUUUGUAUAAUGGGUCAGCGACUUAUAUUCUGUAGCAAGGUUAACCGAAUAGGGGAGCCGAAGGGAAACCGAGUCUUAACUGGGCGUUAAGUUGCAGGGUAUAGACCCGAAACCCGGUGAUCUAGCCAUGGGCAGGUUGAAGGUUGGGUAACACUAACUGGAGGACCGAACCGACUAAUGUUGAAAAAUUAGCGGAUGACUUGUGGCUGGGGGUGAAAGGCCAAUCAAACCGGGAGAUAGCUGGUUCUCCCCGAAAGCUAUUUAGGUAGCGCCUCGUGAAUUCAUCUCCGGGGGUAGAGCACUGUUUCGGCAAGGGGGUCAUCCCGACUUACCAACCCGAUGCAAACUGCGAAUACCGGAGAAUGUUAUCACGGGAGACACACGGCGGGUGCUAACGUCCGUCGUGAAGAGGGAAACAACCCAGACCGCCAGCUAAGGUCCCAAAGUCAUGGUUAAGUGGGAAACGAUGUGGGAAGGCCCAGACAGCCAGGAUGUUGGCUUAGAAGCAGCCAUCAUUUAAAGAAAGCGUAAUAGCUCACUGGUCGAGUCGGCCUGCGCGGAAGAUGUAACGGGGCUAAACCAUGCACCGAAGCUGCGGCAGCGACACUAUGUGUUGUUGGGUAGGGGAGCGUUCUGUAAGCCUGUGAAGGUGUGCUGUGAGGUAUGCUGGAGGUAUCAGAAGUGCGAAUGCUGACAUAAGUAACGAUAAAGCGGGUGAAAAGCCCGCUCGCCGGAAGACCAAGGGUUCCUGUCCAACGUUAAUCGGGGCAGGGUGAGUCGACCCCUAAGGCGAGGCCGAAAGGCGUAGUCGAUGGGAAACAGGUUAAUAUUCCUGUACUUGGUGUUACUGCGAAGGGGGGACGGAGAAGGCUAUGUUGGCCGGGCGACGGUUGUCCCGGUUUAAGCGUGUAGGCUGGUUUUCCAGGCAAAUCCGGAAAAUCAAGGCUGAGGCGUGAUGACGAGGCACUACGGUGCUGAAGCAACAAAUGCCCUGCUUCCAGGAAAAGCCUCUAAGCAUCAGGUAACAUCAAAUCGUACCCCAAACCGACACAGGUGGUCAGGUAGAGAAUACCAAGGCGCUUGAGAGAACUCGGGUGAAGGAACUAGGCAAAAUGGUGCCGUAACUUCGGGAGAAGGCACGCUGAUAUGUAGGUGAAGUCCCUUGCGGAUGGAGCUGAAAUCAGUCGAAGAUACCAGCUGGCUGCAACUGUUUAUUAAAAACACAGCACUGUGCAAACACGAAAGUGGACGUAUACGGUGUGACGCCUGCCCGGUGCCGGAAGGUUAAUUGAUGGGGUUAGCGGUAACGCGAAGCUCUUGAUCGAAGCCCCGGUAAACGGCGGCCGUAACUAUAACGGUCCUAAGGUAGCGAAAUUCCUUGUCGGGUAAGUUCCGACCUGCACGAAUGGCGUAAUGAUGGCCAGGCUGUCUCCACCCGAGACUCAGUGAAAUUGAACUCGCUGUGAAGAUGCAGUGUACCCGCGGCAAGACGGAAAGACCCCGUGAACCUUUACUAUAGCUUGACACUGAACAUUGAGCCUUGAUGUGUAGGAUAGGUGGGAGGCUUUGAAGUGUGGACGCCAGUCUGCAUGGAGCCGACCUUGAAAUACCACCCUUUAAUGUUUGAUGUUCUAACGUUGACCCGUAAUCCGGGUUGCGGACAGUGUCUGGUGGGUAGUUUGACUGGGGCGGUCUCCUCCUAAAGAGUAACGGAGGAGCACGAAGGUUGGCUAAUCCUGGUCGGACAUCAGGAGGUUAGUGCAAUGGCAUAAGCCAGCUUGACUGCGAGCGUGACGGCGCGAGCAGGUGCGAAAGCAGGUCAUAGUGAUCCGGUGGUUCUGAAUGGAAGGGCCAUCGCUCAACGGAUAAAAGGUACUCCGGGGAUAACAGGCUGAUACCGCCCAAGAGUUCAUAUCGACGGCGGUGUUUGGCACCUCGAUGUCGGCUCAUCACAUCCUGGGGCUGAAGUAGGUCCCAAGGGUAUGGCUGUUCGCCAUUUAAAGUGGUACGCGAGCUGGGUUUAGAACGUCGUGAGACAGUUCGGUCCCUAUCUGCCGUGGGCGCUGGAGAACUGAGGGGGGCUGCUCCUAGUACGAGAGGACCGGAGUGGACGCAUCACUGGUGUUCGGGUUGUCAUGCCAAUGGCACUGCCCGGUAGCUAAAUGCGGAAGAGAUAAGUGCUGAAAGCAUCUAAGCACGAAACUUGCCCCGAGAUGAGUUCUCCCUGACCCUUUAAGGGUCCUGAAGGAACGUUGAAGACGACGACGUUGAUAGGCCGGGUGUGUAAGCGCAGCGAUGCGUUGAGCUAACCGGUACUAAUGAACCGUGAGGCUUAACCUU